This 1131-nucleotide long non-coding RNA is filed under the name Strigops habroptila (Kakapo). RNAcentral describes it as "lncRNA (ENSSHBG00005016572.1)". The record is from RNAcentral. Lineage: Eukaryota; Metazoa; Chordata; Aves; Psittaciformes; Psittacidae.
UGGGUGAGGAUGAGCAGGGGCACCAGGAAGUGGGCACAGCUUUUAUAUCAAGUGGAAAAGAUUUGGUAGAGAUCAUCUAUUAUGAUGCAGUUUUUUACCAGUAGAAGUGGAUCUUGUGACACUGCCUUUGGAGUAAUGCAGCUUGUUGUGCAUUGCGUUUGUUGCAUGUUUAUGUGAAAGACUUUCAUGUUAUGGGGGAAUGUAAAUCUUAAUCUGCUGAAAUAACUGUAUAUGGGAAAAGUAUUUUGAAGACAUGCCUUAUGUCAGACAUCUUCCUCCCUCUCAUAGCAUUCCUGCAUUCAGAUUUUAGCCUGGAGUCUGCAGAUGCUAAUUUGAGGACCCAAAAUAGCCAUUGGCACUGGAUGUGUCUCUUGGAGAUGCUCUAAUUAGCCAGGCAUUCCGGGGGUGAUCCAGGGCUGAAAUUAGUGAGGGGUAGAGAUUCCUUUGAGUGCUGAAGGCUGAGUCACCUAAAUAACCUUCCCUUUUCUACUGGCACAUACCUGCUGGAGGUGCUUAUCUGCCAGUUGUGAGCUCACAAGCACCAGUGAUCUUUCAUUUCCUUCUUUCCCCAAAGGGCUAAUCCAUAUCUUAUUAUUUAUAGGAUUUUGGUAAAGACCAUAAACAAGAUAAAGGCUCCCGUUGUGCUUGGUGCUGUGGGGUGUGAUGUACAGCAAUGGUCACCUCUCCUCUCUGGAGGGGUUUCCCAACAAUUCUGUUCUCUUCAAGAGAUGCAUGGCUCUAGAAACACCCUCUUGCAGUGAGUGCUCUGUGUCUCCCAUCUCCCAUGAGGACAUGUGACAUCCCAUGAGGAGUCCCAUCUCCUCUGGUCCAUGCUUCCAGCCCAGCCCUUUGGUGUAAAUACUUGGGCUGGCCUUGCUUGGAGCUGCCACAAACCUGGACUUGACUCUUCCUUGGUGAGAUCUCGCCAUGCACAGUGGUUCAUAGUCAGUAUGUUGGUCAGCAAUAGGAGUGGGAACCAGAGCUCGCAGGGAAAAACACAGGGAAACUCCACUGGUAUCACAGAGAUGUACCCAGCAGCUUUUCCUGCAAGGAGACUGUCAUUCCCUGCCCGUUCCUUACACCUGGUUUCAGGUUGCUGUUUGGAUUAUUAAAUAAAGCAAAUGGCUAUGA